Hyla sarda is the source of this 1681-nucleotide long non-coding RNA. RefSeq lists it as uncharacterized. The transcript has 5 exons. Lineage: Eukaryota; Metazoa; Chordata; Amphibia; Anura; Hylidae. The record is from RefSeq and is a predicted model, not a curated record.
AUGGAUUUCCGUGCGACAUGAUGCACUUGUUUGCGCCGCGACAGUCGCAAGAGCGUGCGAAAAGGCGCAACAUAGGAACCAAUCACUGUAACAAAUACACAGCGACCAAUCACACACGCGGAUCUUGCAAAGGGUGAGGAAAGCACAGUCCAGCCUGCGCGCCCAAGAGCAGUGAGGAGCAGCAGAAAGAAGAACAGAUCACUAAGGUGGCAAGUAGAAGAGUGAACAUUGCCGGCCUAGUUUUCCAAAAAUACAACACCAAACAAGAAAACCAAAGCUGUCAUGUCAAACUCGGAUCACGAAGCAGAAAGCUCCACCAAAAGUUUAGAAAAGCAACCCAGGAAAAGAGCACCACCUUUUACACGUGCCGAGCUGAUCUUCAUAGUGGACUACAUGGAGAAAUGAGAGUAUGGUGUUGGAGAGCGAGGAACCAUAAACAGUAACAAAGGCAGCAUUUUGCAGGACUUAAGACAGGAAUUAGAGGAAAAGUUUGGAGUUGACCGCUUGGAAAGGCAGAUCCAAAAAAGGUAUUCAGACUUGAGGACAAGAGAAAAGGAUACGUACGAUGGUAUACUACGAAAAAUUGCAAAGGGAAAAGCCAAAGAACAAAUUGCACCCAACACUUCAUCUGCACCAAUGAUGACGGCCGCCGAAAAUGUACCCCUUGGGAACACCGGAAACGAGAUGCAAAUUUCCGGUGGGGAUGAGUUUAUUACAUUAACCUUGGAAACUAUACCAACAGACCCAAUAACAGAAACCAGCCAACCAGCGAAUUUUGGUCUUAACUUUGAAGAAAAACUUCUGGCUAUGGAAGGACGUCUGAAAGAACAUUUGCAGCAAAAUCUGGCUAUUAUUAGUCAAAAAAUGGAUGAUAUGUGCAGCAAUUUAGAACAACGCAUUAUGCAGCUGGAGCAAGCUGUGGUGGAUUUAACUAAGAAAUCCAUCCUGAUUGAUAAUUAGAGUACUCCAAAUAACCUCCUGCAAGGGCUAACCUCUGGAGGUUAAAUAUAUGAUAGUAUACUUUUGAUACAAUAUACACCCAAGGAAAAGAUUCUGAGAAAAUAAUGCAAAAGGUAUAUUUUUAUUACACAAUUACAAGAUUUAUAAUACACAUAACAAGGCAGUAUGUCACAGAUGACAAACCCAAAAAGAUACAUGACACAAGGUAGACAGUGAUAUGUAGUACUAGAGUAGAUACAGGUUAAUGCACAUGUACACAAGCAAUGACUAAAGUGCUUCCGGAUAACAUAUUAGUCAAUAAAGUGCAAUAAUCCCAUAAAGUCCUGUGAAAAGUAAGUAGAAUAAAUCGUACCACGGGCAUGACACCCCUACCUAUGUUUAGCUCCGUCGAGCUUCCUUGGAUUUUUAGACCAAGAAUAGAUGGUGUUUUGGGUUACACUUUAUGGAGCCAUCUAAAAGGAAUCCACAAAAGAUUGAGAAUUGCCAGGACUGUGAAUAAGUUAUGCAGUGGAGCCUUGCAACCAAUCAACUAUUCUUUUUUAUUUUAAACAUGUUUAAGCAAAAAAUGAAAAGGAAAUAGCUGAUUGGUUGCCAAGGGAAACUAGGGACAAGGUACACUGUCAAAGGUAACUGACAAAGACCUCGACGCUUAAACGAGUUUUGCCUAAGCAAAUGUUUUUUGGACUGCAGAGGCCAGGCUGUAAAUCUGCACAAAAUAAAC